UAGGAUGACCAAUUCUCCUGGUGUGCCUGGGACUGAGGGUUUUUCUGGGAGGCUGGACUCUCAGU
Molecule: microRNA precursor, 65 nt
Filed under: Mustela putorius furo (domestic ferret)
Lineage: Eukaryota; Metazoa; Chordata; Mammalia; Carnivora; Mustelidae
Description: miRNA (ENSMPUG00000023717.1)
Source: RNAcentral